Molecule: long non-coding RNA, 1233 nt
Filed under: Capra hircus (goat)
Lineage: Eukaryota; Metazoa; Chordata; Mammalia; Artiodactyla; Bovidae
Description: lncRNA (ENSCHIG00010006375.1)
Source: RNAcentral
AUGUUCACCUCAGUGGGGAAAAAAGUGUCUGGAGAAGAGGCUUCUAUGAUGCCCCAUGAAGGUACUUCCCUCCACACCGUGUCCAUAGGAAACCAUCCACCAGAGGCUGAGGGAAGACCAGCAAAGGUGAGUUUGGUCAUUAUUUUUUUCCCCUGCAGUAUCAAUGUGAAAACUUUUCUGUUGAAUUUGUAUACAAUUUUCGAGUUUUAAAACAGUCUCAGGUUUAUGCUUGGCAAGACUUGAUGAGAACUUGAAAACAACAGCAAAGAAGAGAACAUGGCCUGGGGGGGGUCUGUUUUCUAUUUAACCCUCCAAGCAUCUCUCCGGCCCCGCUCCACCCUGGCACGGGACUGCGGGCGUUGUGACCUCACCCCUCCAAGGCGGCAGGGUUCUCUGUGACCUGGGAACCAGAGCUGGUGUCUUCCUCUGUGGCAUUAAAUCUGCGUCCAGUUCUCAGUGCAAGCUGAGGUGUCGGUCCCACUGCUCCAUUGCGGGGAGGGUCCGAUGUGCUGCAGGAGUGGGAGCAGAGCGCAGUGCUGAGGUCUUCUGGCCUCAAGGAGCCCUAUAUCUCCGCCACUUCUGUCUACGAGGUAUCAGGGUAUCUGGCGGCUCCCUCCUGCUGAGAUGCACAGUGGAGUGAAGUCGACCAGCAGCAGAGCCGUCGUGCUCACGGAGAUGCGGUGCUGGUCCCCCCGAGGCUGGGGUGUGCGUCCAGCAUGUGACCUGGUGGCCAGCCUCCAAAAUGUUCCCACCCUAGGUGCUGCCCCUACGGUGGAUCCUGCCGGCCUGUGACAACCAACCCCACCCUGCAGAGAUGGUGGUGAGUGGCUCGGUUGCUUGGACCACUGAGACACAGCGCUCACCUGGACCACUCCCAGGGGACGUCCACCAGCGAUGUGGGAACGCCCCGAGAGCCUUCUAGAGAGGCCGUAAAGGGAGCCACGGAAGCCUGCUGACAACCAGCAGCUGCCUGCCUGGAGAGUGAGCGAGCUUCUCUGACGUGGCCCUUCUGCCCGCGGUCCAGCCCUCACAGUGGGGUAGCCUGAGCCGACAUCUGACAUCUGAGGACCCUGUGCUGGAACGGUCUGGGGUAGGUUGCUUCUCAGCUCCCAACGCCCAGCACCAGAUUACUGUCGUCAGCUCUAAGCUCUGGGGUUAACUUGUGAAGUGAGAGGUAACAGUAACUGCCGCUCUGGGGGGCACUUGGUAACCCAGCUGAUGACUGAGGUUGGC